This 392-nucleotide ribosomal RNA is filed under the name Boophis majori. RNAcentral describes it as "partial 16S ribosomal RNA". It matches the Rfam family "Bacterial large subunit ribosomal RNA", at positions 2039 to 2597 of the family's 2925-position model. The record is from RNAcentral. Lineage: Eukaryota; Metazoa; Chordata; Amphibia; Anura; Mantellidae.
AAACUGAUCUUCCCGUGAAGAAGCGGGAAUAUAUAUAUAAGACGAGAAGACCCCAUGGAGCUUUAAACCCAACAGCACCUAUUCUUUUUAAGCCCACCCAUUCAUAUAGUAAAUGCUUGUUUGGUUUUAGGUUGGGGUGACCGCGGAGUAAAAAUUAACCUCCACGAAAAAAGGCAUAAAAGCCUUAUCAAAGAAUUACACUUCUAUGAAUUAGUAAACUAAUUUUUGAUGAUCCGAUAUUCGAUCAACGAACCAAGUUACCCUGGGGAUAACAGCGCAAUCCACCUCAAGAGCUCCUAUCGACAAGUGGGUUUACGACCUCGAUGUUGGAUCAGGGUACCCCAGUGGUGCAGCAGCUACUAAAGGUUCGUUUGUUCAACGAUUAAAACCCU